This 253-nucleotide ribosomal RNA is filed under the name uncultured bacterium. RNAcentral describes it as "partial 16S ribosomal RNA". It matches the Rfam family "Bacterial small subunit ribosomal RNA", at positions 524 to 776 of the family's 1533-position model. The record is from RNAcentral.
UACGUAGGGGGCAAGCGUUGUCCGGAAUCAUUGGGCGUAAAGAGCGUGUAGGCGGCCCGAUAAGUCCGCCGUGAAAGUCCAGGGCUCAACCCUGGAAUGCCGGUGGAAACUGUCGGGCUCGAGUCCGGAAGAGGCGAGUGGAAUUCCUGGUGUAGCGGUGAAAUGCGCAGAUAUCAGGGGGAACACCAAUGGCGAAGGCAGCUCGCUGGGACGGUACUGACGCUGAGACGCGAAAGCGUGGGGAGCAAACAGG